Molecule: transfer RNA, 69 nt
Filed under: Varanus brevicauda (Short-tailed pygmy monitor)
Lineage: Eukaryota; Metazoa; Chordata; Lepidosauria; Squamata; Varanidae
Description: tRNA-Met
Source: RNAcentral
AGUGAAGUCAGCUAAUCAAGCUCUUGGGCCCAUACCCCGAAAAUGUUGGUCAUAAACCUUCCUUCACUA